GGGGCCAUGGCUCAGCCGGGACUGCGCCUGCUUCGCAUGCAGGAGGUCAGCGGUUCGAAUCCGCUUGGCUCCACCA
Molecule: transfer RNA, 76 nt
Filed under: Methylorubrum extorquens
Lineage: Bacteria; Pseudomonadati; Pseudomonadota; Alphaproteobacteria; Hyphomicrobiales; Methylobacteriaceae
Also listed under: 1 other name
Description: tRNA-Ala
Rfam family: tRNA
About the family: Transfer RNA (tRNA) molecules are approximately 80 nucleotides in length. Their secondary structure includes four short double-helical elements and three loops (D, anti-codon, and T loops).
Source: RNAcentral